Molecule: ribosomal RNA, 391 nt
Filed under: Labyrinthuloides sp.
Lineage: Eukaryota; Bigyra; Thraustochytrida; Thraustochytriidae
Description: partial small subunit ribosomal RNA
Rfam family: Eukaryotic small subunit ribosomal RNA
Source: RNAcentral
AUUCCAGCUCCAAUAGCGUAUAUUAAAGUUGUUGCAGUUAAAAAGCUCGUAGUUGGAUUUCUGGUAGGAGCGACCGUGCCGAACUUGAUUGUUCGUGUAUUGUGUUGUCUUCAGCCAUCCUCGUGGAGAACUUUUCUAACAUUAACUUGUUGGGAUUGGGACCCGCGUCGUUUACUGUGAAAAAAUUAGAGUGUUUAAAGCAGGCAUUAGCUUGAAUACAUUAGCAUGGAAUAAUAGAAUAGGACUUAAGCCUCUUCUGUUGGUCUGAGGGGUGUAAGUAAUGAUUAAUAGGGAUAGUUGGGGGCAAUAGCACUUAACUGUCAGAGGUGAAAUUCUCGGAUUUGUUAAAGACUAACUUAUGCGAAAGCAUUUGCCAAGGAUGUUUUCAUCA